Molecule: long non-coding RNA, 10033 nt
Filed under: Marmota monax (woodchuck)
Lineage: Eukaryota; Metazoa; Chordata; Mammalia; Rodentia; Sciuridae
Source: RNAcentral
AUAAACUCACUAUGAUAUUCCCAAUAUUUUCUUUAUAGGGACAAGAUCAAGACUAAUAGAACUUUCUAGAGACUGAAUGCUCUGAUCCUCUCUGUGAAGAAAGAUUGUCUUCUCCAAGUCAACCAGAGAAAUUUCUUUCACCAACUCUGAGUGUGGCACCAUAGUUAUUCCCAGUGCUUGAAUGUGUGUUUUCUCCACACCAGCUGGACCUUUUCAUGGAGCCCUUCCUGUAGUUACUUCAACCAGAUCUUCCACUAAAGUAGUAACUUGAGUAAUUUUUCAUGGUAUCUUGCUGUGAUGUGCUUGGUACCUGCCACAAAAGAGCACAGAGCCUCAUUAGAGCCCUCAUGUCCUCAUAUUCUCUAUCUCAAUAUGGUAGAGUCUGAUGUCUAAAGUCUUUGCAGAAUUUUGAGCUCCUUCCCCAUUCCAGACAUAGCAGAUCCUAUUAUUGUUCUUUGUGACCAAAUACCAUUUUGUCCCAAACCUCCUGCUUUGGCCUAGGGAAUCUGGAAGUGGAAGAUAUCAGCUGAGAGCACAUUUUGAUAAUUCAGUCCCAGGUCCUUUCCUCUCUCAUAUGCAUCCCUCCUUUCUCUGAUUUAGACUUUGCCUUUUCUAUCUAAUUGUAUUCUCAUUAUGCAGUAUGAUACUUUUCAUGUUAUUUGAUAUGUUGAUUUUAUUUUAAAAUUCAUUUGUAUACUACCAUUCCAUUGAUUAAAGCAUUCCAAAAGUUGUGUUGGAAUUUUUCACUUAACAGCUUGGUUUCAAAGAUCUUAAGUGAAAAACCGCCUUCUGGCCAAUAUCAAGCUUCUAAUGAGUGGAAAGUGGAAUUUUAUGCUCUGUGAAAGUAUUGCCAAUUUGAUACUGUACCUUUAUCAUAUUCCUUUGUUGUCUUCUAAGGAAUUGGAAGUUUGUGUGUAAUGCACUUAUCCAUAGGGAAAAGUUCUUUCUAGUUUAUUUUUUUAAAUCCUAUAGAUCUUCAUAAUUUUCAUUGUCACUAAUUUUAAUUUUAGAAUUAUAAGCUCAAUCUGAUUUUCAAAAUCAUUAUUUUUUGCUAGAAGUUGGAAGUGGAAAUUAGUAGAGGACUUGGGAUAAGGAAAGAGGAAUGGGGUUAUAUUUAACCUUAGUAAUAGAAGUUAUCUGAGAGUCCAGAUUAAAACCAGCAUUUUACACAAAUCUACAAGAUGUUUCUCUUCACUAUAAUUUUUUAUAUAUAUCAUGUCUGAUUUCUGCCCUCUUUUAUUGUCUGUAUAAAUGUUUUGGUCCAAUUUUUAAGUAUCAAAUACACUGAUUUAGAAGUUUUAACUUUGAAGUAUUCCUCCUCCUCUAGUCAUAUGAUAGUAACAGUGCAGUUGUCCCCACUGCCACCACAGUGGGGGAUUUUUCCCUGAGUAGAGUUGUGCUCUUGCCAGCUCCAUGUGGCUCGAUUGCAUCUCUGCCUCUCUUAGUCCCAGUGAAUCUGAUUUGCAUUUAUUUUAUUAUACCGUCGGAGUUCAUGGCACUUCCUUCAUCUUUAGAAAUAUCUCUUCUCUUCCAUGCUUAGAAGGAUCUCAUUAGAGAAGUCAUAUACAAUCAUUCAGGUAAAAGAAAUACCAGUGAUCUUGGCCAGAGAUCUGGGUCAGUGUCUUGGGAGUGGGGCUAUUCCAUGCAAUUAUUUUCUUGUCCUUUAAAAAAAACAUAGCUUCCUUAUAGAUAUUAAAUAGUAUAUCAGUACCUUACUAGGCCUUAAUUUCCAACCAUUUUCCUUUACACUUUCAAGUGUGUUAUCCUGUAGUAGAAAGGAGGCAACAGAUUUGGGUUGUGUUACUGCCUUGUUCAGGCAGAGUUUUUAUUGCUUAAGGAAUGUCCAUUGAAUGCUAUAUCUUUAUGACAACCACCACGUAAGAGAUGGAUAUGGAAAAUAUCGUAUAGAAAAAAAACGUAUUACAUUCCUUACACAUCUUUUUCAAAAGUAAAAAUUUAUUUUGACGUUUUUAAGGAUUUAAUAAUCAGUUUUUUACUAAAUAUACUUUGGGGAUUACUCAUAUCCAUCUGAUGCCUGUAAAAUCUGGGCUUCUCCUAUCUUCAUUUUCUUCAUUAAUAAUUUAAAUUUAUACCUUAAAAACCACAAGAACUGUUUAAGGAAUAUCUUGUAUACUUACAGUUUGUCAGCCCCUUUACCAAAGUAUUUAUUUAUUCUUUUUGUUAGUAUAAGCAGAUGGUCAGAUUUCUACAUAUAGGUUGUAAUAUAAAUAGACAUUGACCCCUUGUCCGCUGAAUUCUUCCCCAUUCCUCUGAAAUGCCUUCUCAUUUAUUCUAUUUUAAGUAUUUGGAGACCAUGUCUACUAUUUGAAAUGGUUCCUGGCCAUAGUAGGUACUUAAUAAACAUUCAUUGAAUCAAACAAUGAAACUGACAGCCAUUUACCUUGGUUGGUGGGGCAAUAUUUUUCUAAGUUCUUAAAUUAUCCUUGUCUCCACAUUAAUAACAGUUCAGGUCAGGAGAUGUGGAAAUACUGAAUUUCCUUUCUAUAGUGCUAAGAAGUGAUUUAAAAUAUAGAGGAAUGGCAGUAAGUUGAGGUGGAUCCACAGGAGUCAUCUGAUUCUUUCUUUGUCUCUGAAUAUAUAAUUUUGGCUCUAUAAUACAGGGGUUCUUUUCCUCCAAACAGUGACAUGGUUUUACAGCCUUGAUUCCAAAGAAAUUUCACAUUCAGCAGCUGGUUUGAUCUUUGUGAUGCCAUGCGGUGGACCACACAGGACUAUCUCUACUUUUCAUAUGAAUCCCAAAGUAGUUAAAUGGUUUGCCAAUGUGGCUUGGUAACUGAAUAGAAGAACCUAAGUUAGUAGUUGGGUCUUCUUGUUUCUGGAUUAGUGCUCUGAACAAUAUAUCAGGUAAUUAGCAUUAUCCCUUUUGAGGAAUUUCUUGGCUAUAUUAAUCCUCAAGGGUAAGCUCUAAACCAAAAAUUUUCUAUAAUACAAGGUAAUUCCACUCAGGAGAGGCUUUCUUUUGUGUGUGUUUUCAUUUUGGCAUAGUUAGUUAAAGGAGGUAAUCAAAUGGACUUGGCAGCUUUUACCUAGAAAGACAGGCAACCUAAAGUGUAUAGCUAUAGGUAAUUACUAGAGUUAUUUGAACUUAAUUCUAUUUUUUAAUGAAAUCAGUGCUCACUGCCAGCCAUUUUAUAAAAAGACUCCACAUUUGAGAGGUGAUGCUUUUAUCUUUUGGUAUGCCUGGAUUACAGCUUCAGUUAGAUUCUCUCACAUAUUUAUAAAUAUAAUUCUGUUGUCAUAAUUAUAAACAAUAACUUGGAUAGCUAUCAGAUUUUGUGGAUAACAUCCUUUCCCCCUGAUAUUUUUGGGAUCAUUACUUGUUGUCUCUAGCUGAUGGUGCUAAGGGGUCUUAAGUCCAGAUAGAUUUUUUCUUCCCCUUUUGUAGAUGGCCUGCUUGCUUGCCCUGGAAACAUGUGAUUCUUUGUUUAGUCCUUAAAAUUCAAUAGGUUCAUUUGAAUAUACCUCAGAAUUGAUAGUUGUCCUUUGGCUUUUUCUGGUACAUAGUGAGCAUUAUAUAUUGACAUUUCAGGCCUUACUGCAUUUUGUAUUGGUUUAUUCUAUUCUCUUUGAGAAUUUGUUGUUCUCUUGGCUCUCUAUUAUCUGUCCUUCACAUUUAUCUUUCUUUCAGUGGGUUUUACCUCCUUGUCUUCCUUCAUACUGUGAUUUUGUUUUUCAGAAGCCUUAUUCUCCAUUUCACUGACUCAGCUUUCUCUACUGAUGAUUUGGGGCCUUGUUAUUUAUAAUGUGGCUUUCACUUCUGUUAAGUUUAAUUUUUUUUAUGUUUCUUCCCCUGGGUCAUAAUAUUGUCCUUUUUUAUUUCUUAUUUCAAUUCUUGGAUGAACCAUUUUGUCUAUAUUUAUCAUGGUUUCUGAAAUCAUUCUUUAGAGUGUAUUUAUGUGCCUUUUGCUUUAUCUGUUAGACACUCUCCUGGAGUCCGUGGUAUGGGGUUGUGGCUUUUAUUAGUUUCAUUAUAGACAGCUUUUUGCUCAAUUUUUGGAUGUGUGUGUUGGAGAGCAGGAGCACUUAUAUAAACAUGCAUUUAUUCUGCCAUCCUUCCCAGUGGUCCAGGUGCUUAAACAUUGACUUUGAAGAUAAUGUCCUUCAUAAUCUAUAUGUUAGUAAACAGAAGGAACCAAUAUUGCCAGCAGGAAAGCACUUAACAACUUUAAUCAAUACAAGAUUUUUGUUUACUGUUCUGUGUGGAAAGAUAACUUUUAACUCAGGUUCCUGUUCCAACAAUUAGAGAUAUCAGUACCUUCUGGCUUGAAAAGAGGGAACAUGUGACAUUUUAAUGAACUUAAGUUAUUGGCCAUUGACAAUGAUUAAUUAGUUAAUUAAAUAUGACAGUAUGUUUCAAACUAGCAUGUAAUCAGAGUUGUCAAGAGAAGUAUAAGCUGUUUUUAUUAAUAGGUUGUAGUCAACUCGUCUCACUGCGACAGUUAACCCUUCUAAGAGCUUUGUUUUGACACAGGUUUUUUUUUUUUUUUAACCUGUCUUUUAAAUCAACCCAUUUUUUAAUGUGGUUCAUUAAGAAAUAAAAGGGUGUUAUGUUUUCAUCAGAAUUUUUUUGUUAUUUAUGAUUAUACAUUCAAAUUGUUUGUAGAUCUGGGGCCUAUCCUGGAAGCACAUAGUUUAAUGUUUCAGAAGUACAUCUGCAGGUAGAUCAUGGGGUAGAGUUUUAUUUGGCCUCUCAGAGAACUGAAGCCUCCUUGCCUUAGUGAUGAGCACACUUCACUAGAAAAUCAGCAGCAAACUUUUGUCACCUUCAGAGCUCCCACAUAAUGAUCAGGGAGUACAAGUGACAGCCUUGCUCUAUAUACCAAACUCCACUCAAGGCAAGGCAUUCUUAAGACCAGGGCCUUUGCCCUAGUCUGUGCUAUUGUAAAAUGGAGAAUUGAACAAGGUACCCUCAGGUAAAGGAGACUAAUAAAGUGAAGGUGGCAGACAGAGGAGUCAUGGGAAGAAAAAGUGUUCAAUGUUCAUUUAAACAAUAUCCAGGUUAGAAACCAUGUUAAGUAUGGGUACAUGGCAGUGAUCAAACAGAAAUCCUCACUCUGUGACUCAUGUUCUUGCAGAGAAGACAGUCAAGAAACAAAAUAAGGUGAUUUUAUGGUUCAAUUGGGAGAUGAAUGCUAUGGAAAAAAAUGAAAUGAGAGACAGAACCAAACCUUCUCAGGGUUGCUUUCAUCAUAGGCAGGUGUGUUCCUCAGAGGAGGAAGUGUUGGUGAUUUCUGGUUUCUCUGCUUUGUAUCUGUUGAUCUCCAUUUGGAGAGUUCAUCUUCUAUGCCUGGUUCUGUGCUCAGCUCUGUGGGGGACCCUGUUGAGGCCCUGCAUUGCAGUUUUAGGUAGACAAAGGGAACUGACCUGUUUCAGUCAUGGUUUUUCUGACCCACAGGGAGCAGCGGUCAGGUGAAAAGAGCCAGCUUUUACAAUCAAAUUUCACCAAAUGAUGUGAGCUGCUGUGUCCAAAAACACAAUUGCCACAGGUUCCAGAUACGUUUUUAGAACUUCUGAAAUCAUUCAGUAAUUGUUUAAAGCAUCUGGAUGCUGAUGCUGCACUUAAAAUAGCAGCUUGUUGAGAAAGACCCUAUUUAAUACUUCCAAACUCAUUUUAGAAGAGGAUUAAAGAAGUAUCCUAGAGGCUUCUCUCUGAAGUCCCCAGGAUAGCAUCAGCUGUUUGCCUCCCAAAAUAAGGCAAUAAAAAGACACAGAGCUCUUGAGAAACAUAUUUUCACCUCUCUGUCUCUAAAAUAGGGACAUGUAUUCCCUCUGAUCUCUGCGAUAGCCUUAUGGUGGUUAGGACGCAGGUUGUCACUUGGUGUGUGCCACAUGUGGCCCACCACUUUCCAUCAGAGCCAUGGUGGGGACUUUUAGUUCCUCACACUUGUCUGUCUUGUCGCCUUUAGGAUAGAGCUGAGUGACCCAGCAAUAAAUAGAAGGUUUAGCUGACUGGAGGAAAUGCGAUACACUUAUUUAUUCCCAUAGGCAGAGCCAAUUGGUCACCCUUUAAAUUGUCUUAUUUGCAUAUGAAAAAGAACAUCAUGGGAUAUCAUUUCUGAAAGCCACCAAACAAAUGUCUGAUAAGGUUAUAUGCCUGCAUUAACCACCCCCCCCAUCUCACAUUUAACAUCCUUUCAGUGUUUUAGCUAAGUCCAGAAAACAUCCUAUACAUGUGCAUUCUUUGCACAGAAAAUUCUAUCCAAUGUGGAGAAUUGACCUCAGGUCUCAGUAUCCUUUCCCGUUUUGUUGGGCGACUCCAUAAGCACAGUGCUUCCCAAUUCAAAGUGAUGAAGUCAGUUUUUGAUAGAGGUUAUUCUGCAUGUCUCUUGAAAAUGAUAAGAAGUAGUUUGAUGUCUGGAGUCCCAUGGUCCCCUUUGGACUAUUGGAAAUAUUUUUUGUUUGAUUUUUUAAAAAGUUAGAUAAUUGAAAUAGUAAAUCUGUGGUAAUACUAGAUCCAGGAAGCUUCCAGUUCUGAAAGAGUAUGAACUUAACCUGAAAAAUGUUUCUCGGUUCUAUAAAUCUCUCAGUGACAUUUGGAUUAAUCAAGUAUAAUUAAAUGUAGUUAGAUUUUUGUCAGAUUGUAGUUCAAAAUAAUAUUCAUCUAUGGAGAGGGUAAUAUAUUCUGUAGAAAUUUUAUUAAGCACUUUAGUUAAGCAAACACUAAGGAGAACAAAAUCAGCCUCAGGAAGGUUAAUUACUAAAAAAAACACAAAGUAUAGUAGGUUAUGUAAAUCACUUUAAUUUUGAAUACCAUGGCUUGAGCUUUAAUUUACAUAGAGAGGUAUUUUGGAUUUGUUUUUCACAUUUAUAUUUUCCAAAAAGAACAGAAUUACACUUGCAUUCUUUUAAAAAGUUCUAAUCAUUCUAGGAUUCCAUUAAGUUUGCUUAACUUUUUCCUAUUAUAGUUUCCAAAAGUGAAGAAUUACAGUUGCAUUCUAACUAAUUAUCUUAAGAUUCCGUUAAGUCAGUAUAAAUUGUAAGAACUGUAUUUUUAUUUCUGAGAGUUUUAAGAAAAGUAUCAAGCAAGAGAAUGUAUGUGAAAGUAUCAGCCCAUGUAUGACUUUGCAAUAAAUAUUCAUUUAAAAGAAAAAUGUUUAAAAAGGUAAAGCAUAAGAGUUUAGACUAUAAUGAUAAAAUUUUUUAUUUUAGUAAUUUCUUUAAAGGGAGGAGUAAAGAGAUUAAAUUGAUUUUAUAUGUAUAUUUUUUGUACUCAGAGAGUUGCAUUUUCACUCCACUUUCAUGUCUCAGGGAAUAGCCUUUGAUAAGAAUCUCAUGGGAAUCUCUGGAACUAUACCACAGUGUGUUCAGAUUUGAAUGUUGUUGUCUAAAUAUCAGAGCUAAAGUUUCAAAAGUAUUGUCAUUUUAGGAACAUGAGAUUACUCAAGAAACCUGAACUUAACCUUUUUUGUUUUUGAUAAUAAAAGACACCUACAUUUCCUUUGUCUAGGAGGUAAACAGAAGUCUUUUUAUGACACAUCUCUGAGAUUUUCUUAGAAAACCCCCGUAAUUUGAUUUUGUUUGAUAGUUUGCUUCUUGACUUUUCAAUGAGGAUUCUUUUCCAUUGGAACAGACUCCUUUUGGGAUAAUAAACUUACGCUUAAAAGAAUAUUCUAUCAAGUAAUUCUAACUUCUAUUGACCUAGAAAUGGCUUAUUAAUUUAAAUUCUCUGGAUAACUUUCUUAAGUGGGCCAAAACAGCACAAAUGUCAAAGAUCACAUAUGUACUAAGCAAGUUUUGCCCUGCAUUUAGCAAGGUAAACAUCAAACUCUGGCAUUUAGGACUGAUUUAACUGCUCUCCAGUUCAUCUUUGCCUUCCAAAAUGAUUGAAAAUGGCAAACUUAGAAUGGAAUGCAUAUUAAUAACAAAGCUACUUAAUGUUUAAAAUAUUCUUACCUUGUUGGGCAUGGUGGCACAUGCCUUUAACCACAGCAAUUUGAGAGGGUGAGGCAGGAGGAUCACAUGUCUGAGGCCAGCCAUGGUAGCUUAGCAAUACCCUGCCUCAAAAUAAAAAAUAGAAAAGGGCUAGAGAUAUGACUCAGUGGUAGAGCAUCCCUAGGUUCCAUUUCCAGUUACAAAAAAAAAAAAAAUCUUGAUCUUUUUGAGAGAGGGAAUGAAGAAUCUUAACAUUCAUUGCUAACUGUUUUGGCUGUUCAGAUAUGCUAGACAUUAACAAGGAAGUUAAAAAUUAAAUGUGAUUACAAGUCAAAGGUGUUCACCAUUUUGUCAUGCUAAAUGAUAUGUCACAAAAGGAGUUUGUGAAAUCAGGAUGAAUAAAAAAUGUUACAUUGUUUAAAUCAUGCCAUCCAUUUCUCAUAAACUCUACUUUCUUUUUGUCAUUGAACUUUUAUAACUGCCAGAAAGCUCAAUCUGUAUUUUAAAAGGCACAAUGUAUUUUCAGUAAGAUCUGGCUUAUGCCUUAAUCAUUAAAAAUGUUGAGGUUAAUAUCCUACCCAUUUAAUUAGAAUGUUUUAAAAUGUUUACAACUAAAGCCUAUAACUGUAGGGAUCUAAAGACUUGAGACCACCUGCCAUUGAAGAGGGACCAGGCUGACUAUUUUGGGCCUCACUUGCUGAGUCCUCUCAGGAGGCAGGAUUUUCCCAGCUGUUGUAACUAGCAUGAAAAACAAAAUAGAAGGAACAUUACAAAGUCCUGUAUCUGUUCCUUUUUUCCUUGGAUACCUAUGUAACUCUUCUUGGGGAAGAUACCACAUGAAUUCCUUUGGUAUCUUGUGUUUCACUUUGAAAAAAUUUCUGUUAGAGCUCGUAUGUACUUUUGACAAAUUGUGCAUAUACCUACAAUUUUUUUUAAGAUUAAACAAAAUGUACCUUGACUCUUGAGUGGAUAGCCAAGGCAAGGUUUUCCUAGAAAAUAUAAAGCACUGAGUUAUUUAAAAAUUGCAGUGGACUGAGCUGGGGAUGUAACUCAGUGGUAGAGCACUUGCCUCGCUAGCAUACUUAAGGUCCUGGGUUCAGUCCCCAGCACCACAAUAAAAAAAUUGCAGUGGACUUUAUUCAAUGUUGGAAGAAUUGAGUUCUACUGCUUCUUUCAUUUCUGGUCCAUUCAUUGUUGCAAUCCUGCUUCUUUUUUCUUGUUCUGCACUAGAACUGAAUGUUGUGCUUUAAUUAGAAAUGAGUUGUGCUUGAGUCAGUUCUGGACAACAUGACACAUUUUUAGAAGAAUGGAAAUACUGCUUUAGCAUCCUGGCUAACCCUAAUCUCUGUAGAGUUCCUUGGGUUAAAAUCAUUUGAGGUCAUAAUUGUUGUUUAAGAUUUAUGUACACACCAUCUGCUGCUCUUAAGUUCACACACUCAGAAAAGUAUGUAAAUGCUUGAAAUUUAAAUAUUUUUCAGAUUUAGAACACGACUUGUAAAUGCCUAGUAAAUGCUCAAACUGAAUAAGAAAGCCAUCAUGGAAUAAAAUAUACCUUUAUGUACAUGUCUAAUGCUACAAAUUAAGUGAAAAAUUUCUUGCUUGGACAGUUUUUCAUCAUAACCCCUUAUAAAACUGGUGUCCAAAAUGGGAAUUAUUGCUGAUUUGAUAAGAAAAUAAUAUUAAAAUACAUGAAAUAAAUGUUCAUUACAAUAUUUGUACCAGUAAGUUCAAAUCUGACCUGUUCACUUUGUGCCUCUGUCAGCUUAGUUACAGUGAUAAAUGUACACACAAUAUCCUGUGUUUCCAGGCAACCUUGUGGUUUGUAGACUAAAAUCCAGCCCCCCAAGUUCUGUGCUGUUCUGUGGCCUGGCUGGUACACACUGUCAUGAGUGAAGAAUGACUUUGGAUUGGGUCAUUUGUCAUUCCAUGUUCCGUGAAGAAAAGUGUUUUGUUGUGAUUGUUGGAAAAACAACCAGAAAAGUGUAUGGCUCAGAUAAUGUUCCCUGUAAAUUGUGGAACAAUCUGUAGUGUCCAUCAUAGCCAAACUAGUCCUGGAGCACAUGGACAAUUCUGUACCCCAAUAAUCAGAACAAUAAAAUGGUAGUUGUGAUUCAUAAUGUGUCAGUGUGGUGUUUAAUGA